GAACGCUGGCGGCGUGCUUAACACAUGCAAGUCGAACGAGAACGGAUUAUAGCUUGCUAUAAUUGUCAGCUAAGUGGCGCACGGGUGAGUAAUAUAUAGAUAACCUGCCCUCUAGAAAGGAAUAACAGUUGGAAACGACUGCUAAUGCCCUAUAUGCCUUUAAUACAUAAGUAUGCAAGGGAAACGCUUUAGUGCUAGAGGAUGGGUCUGUAUGGUAUCAGCUUGUUGGUGAGGUAAUGGCUCACCAAGGCUAUGACGCCUAACUGGUUUGAGAGGACGACCAGCCACACUGGGACUGAGACACGGCCCAGACUCCUACGGGAGGCAGCAGUGGGGAAUUUUGGACAAUGGGCGCAAGCCUGAUCCAGCAAUGCCGCGUGCAGGAAGAAGGCCUUCGGGUUGUAAACUGCUUUUGUACGGAGCGAAAAGGCUUCCUCUAAUACAGGGGGUCCAUGACGGUACCGUAAGAAUAAGCACCGGCUAACUACGUG
This 491-nucleotide ribosomal RNA is filed under the name uncultured bacterium. RNAcentral describes it as "bacterial SSU rRNA". It matches the Rfam family "Bacterial small subunit ribosomal RNA", at positions 31 to 507 of the family's 1533-position model. The record is from RNAcentral.